RNAcentral lists this ribosomal RNA (439 nucleotides) under uncultured bacterium. Its description in RNAcentral is "partial 16S ribosomal RNA". It matches the Rfam family "Bacterial small subunit ribosomal RNA", at positions 339 to 795 of the family's 1533-position model. The record is from RNAcentral.
CUACGGGCGGCUGCAGUGAGGAAUAUUGCACAAUGGGGGGAACCCUGAUGCAGCAACGCCGCGUGGAGGAUGACGCAUUUCGGUGUGUAAACUCCUUUUAUAUGUCAAGAAAAUGACGGUAGCAUAUGAAUAAGCGCCGGCUAACUCCGUGCCAGCAACCGCGGUAAUACGGAGGGCGCAAGCGUUACUCGGAAUCACUGGGCGUAAAGGACGCGUAGGCGGGUUGAAAAGUCAGGUGUGAAAGCCUACAGCUUAACUGUAGAACUGCACUUGAAACUCUCAAUCUAGAGUAUGGGAGGGGCAGAUGGAAUUAGUGGUGUAGGGGUAAAAUCCGUAGAUAUCACUAGGAAUACCUAAAGCGAAGGCGAUCUGCUGGAACAUUACUGACGCUAAGGCGUGAAAGCGUGGGGAGCAAACAGGAUUAGAUACCCUGGUAGUC